CAGCAGUAGCCGCGGUAAUACGGAGGGUGCAAGCGUUAAUCGGAAUUACUGGGCGUAAAGCGCACGCAGGCGGUUUGUUAAGUCAGAUGUGAAAUCCCCGAGCUUAACUUGGGAACUGCAUUUGAAACUGGCAAGCUAGAGUCUUGUAGAGGGGGGUAGAAUUCCAGGUGUAGCGGUGAAAUGCGUAGAGAUCUGGAGGAAUACCGGUGGCGAAGGCGGCCCCCUGGACAAAGACUGACGCUCAGGUGCGAAAGCGUGGGGAGCAAACAGGAUUAGAUACCCCUGUAGUCCCUGUCUCUUAUAC
Molecule: ribosomal RNA, 304 nt
Filed under: uncultured bacterium
Lineage: Bacteria
Description: partial 16S ribosomal RNA
Rfam family: Bacterial small subunit ribosomal RNA
Source: RNAcentral